UUGAAAGGGAUGAUUAUUUCUCCAGAUGAUUGAAUAUGAACAAAUUGAGCGAUCUUCUCUCUUUGUGGGAGGAUUAGUAUUAAA
Jatropha curcas is the source of this 84-nucleotide non-coding RNA. The record is from Rfam. NCBI's taxonomy places the organism in Eukaryota, Viridiplantae, Streptophyta, Magnoliopsida, Malpighiales, Euphorbiaceae.